GAUGAACGCUGGCGGCGUGCCUAAUACAUGCAAGUCGAGCGAACAGACGAGGAGCUUGCUCCUCUGACGUUAGCGGCGGACGGGUGAGUAACACGUGGAUAACCUACCUAUAAGACUGGGAUAACUUCGGGAAACCGGAGCUAAUACCGGAUAAUAUAUUGAACCGCAUGGUUCAAUAGUGAAAGACGGUUUUGCUGUCACUUAUAGAUGGAUCCGCGCCGCAUUAGCUAGUUGGUAAGGUAACGGCUUACCAAGGCAACGAUGCGUAGCCGACCUGGGAGGGUGAUCGGCCACACUGGAACUGAGACACGGUCCAGACUCCUACGGGAGGCAGCAGUAGGGAAUCUUCCGCAAUGGGCGAAAGCCUGACGGAGCAACGCCGCGUGAGUGAUGAAGGUCUUCGGAUCGUAAAACUCUGUUAUUAGGGAAGAACAAAUGUGUAAGUAAAUAUGCACGUCUUGACGGUACCUAAUCAGAAAGCCACGGCUAACUACGUG
This 497-nucleotide ribosomal RNA is filed under the name uncultured bacterium. RNAcentral describes it as "partial 16S ribosomal RNA". It matches the Rfam family "Bacterial small subunit ribosomal RNA", at positions 28 to 507 of the family's 1533-position model. The record is from RNAcentral.